This 494-nucleotide ribosomal RNA is filed under the name uncultured bacterium. RNAcentral's name for it is "partial 16S ribosomal RNA". It matches the Rfam family "Bacterial small subunit ribosomal RNA", at positions 28 to 507 of the family's 1533-position model. The record is from RNAcentral.
GACGAACGCUGGCGGCGUGCUUAACACAUGCAAGUCGAACGGAAAGGCCUGCUUUCCCUUGUGGAUUGCGGGUACUCGAGUGGCGAACGGGUGAGUAACACGUGAGUGAUCUGCCCCCAACUUGGGUAUAAGCCUGGGAAACUGGGUCUAAUUCCCGAUAGGACUGCAGGGUGGUGCCUGUGGUGGAAAACGAUUUUCUAGUGGUUGGGGAUGAGCUCGCGGCCUAUCAGCUUGUUGGUGGGGUAAUGGCCUACCAAGGCGGCGACUGGUAGCCGGCCUGGGAGGGUGGACGGUCACAUUGGGACUGGGAUACGGCCCAGACUCCAGCGGGAAGCAGCAGUUGGGAAUAUAGCAGAAUGGGCGGGAGGCUGAUGCAGCGACGCCGCGUGGGGGAUGACGGCCUUCGGGUUGUAAGCUACUAGCGACGGAGAGGAGGCCACCUGGUUGGAAGGGUGGUGACGGUAGUGGUAGAAGAAGCACCGGCUAACUACGUG